RNAcentral lists this ribosomal RNA (255 nucleotides) under uncultured bacterium. Its description in RNAcentral is "partial 16S ribosomal RNA". It matches the Rfam family "Bacterial small subunit ribosomal RNA", at positions 524 to 777 of the family's 1533-position model. The record is from RNAcentral.
GACAGAGGAUGCAAGCGUUAUCCGGAAUGAUUGGGCGUAAAGCGUCUGUAGGUGGCUUUUUAAGUCCGCCGUCAAAUCCCAGGGCUCAACCCUGGACAGGCGGUGGAAACUACCAAGCUGGAGUACGGUAGGGGCAGAGGGAAUUCCUGGUGUAGCGGUGAAAUUCGUAGAUAUUCGCAGGAACACCAGUGGCGAAGGCGGCUUACUGGUCCAUAACUGACGCUGAGGUGCGAAAGCGUGGGGGAGCAAACAGGG